Molecule: ribosomal RNA, 220 nt
Filed under: uncultured bacterium
Lineage: Bacteria
Description: partial 16S ribosomal RNA
Rfam family: Bacterial small subunit ribosomal RNA
Source: RNAcentral
UAAUGUCUGGGAAACUGCCUGAUGGAGGGGGAUAACUACUGGAAACGGUAGCUAAUACCGCAUAAUGUCGCAAGACCAAAGUGGGGGACCUUCGGGCCUCAUGCCAUCAGAUGUGCCCAGAUGGGAUUAGCUAGUAGGUGGGGUAACGGCUCGCCUAGGCGACGAUCCCUAGCUGGUCUGAGAGGAUGACCAGCCACACUGGAACUGAGACACGGUCCAG